GGCGUAAAGGACACGUAGGCGGGAUGCCAAGUCUGAUGUGAAAUCCUAUGGCUCAACCAUAGAACUGCAUUGGAAACUGGUAACCUAGAGUAUGGGAGGGGGAGAUGGAAUUAG
RNAcentral lists this ribosomal RNA (114 nucleotides) under uncultured bacterium. RNAcentral describes it as "partial 16S ribosomal RNA". It matches the Rfam family "Bacterial small subunit ribosomal RNA", at positions 557 to 670 of the family's 1533-position model. The record is from RNAcentral.